Molecule: long non-coding RNA, 772 nt
Organism: Neopelma chrysocephalum (saffron-crested tyrant-manakin)
Lineage: Eukaryota; Metazoa; Chordata; Aves; Passeriformes; Pipridae
Exons: 3
Source: RefSeq, a predicted model, not a curated record
CAGGGAACAGAAUAGGAAAUCUGGGGAAAAUGUCCUCAGAAAGACAGAGAAAGUAACGUAACAGCUGAGAGAGGAAAAGCAAUGCUAAAACAAGCCUCAAAAAAAGAAAUGGGGAGAAAGUUAAAAGAUCCAGAAGAAAGAAACAGUGAACAAUUUGAACUUAAAGGAGCUGAAUCCACGAGUCCCUACGGGUGACCACUGCCAGGCCCACAGUAUGUUUGAGUAAGAGAUUGAUCAUUUCUUCCUGAGAUUGUUCCAGAGAGGGUUUUCUGCAAGUUUUGUCUUUGAAAGCCUCAUCACUCCCCAUCUAUUGUGGUACUUGCGUGCUUGCUGUGUGUGAUGAGAGCAAGGGAGAUUUCCACAUUUGGAACGGCUCCUGAGUGUCUUGACACAUCUUGCUGAGCUCUCCCGAGGAUCAGUGGAACAGACAGCUGCCUUCUUCAUCCUCUCUCGUGCUGAUACUUAAGCAGUUGCCAACUUUCAUCCAAAGUCAAAGGCAGGCGAGGGGCAGAUCACUGAUGGCUCUUCAUACAAUGAGAAACACCUAAUAAAAGAAUGUCUAUAAAUGACUAUCCUUUCCUAGGAUUUUACACAAUGUUUAGUACAAUAGUUGGUAACAUGUGAAAGCAACACACUUAAAAAAGAAAGCACAUAGUUUUAUAUCAUCGACCUUUUUUGCUGUAAUACAGGUUUUUGUAGCGAUUUGGUUGAAGAAAGCCAUGUAUCUGCUUCUUACCCUGAAACAAACAAAAAUAAAUGGACAGAAGAGUUG